Molecule: ribosomal RNA, 252 nt
Filed under: uncultured bacterium
Lineage: Bacteria
Description: partial 16S ribosomal RNA
Rfam family: Bacterial small subunit ribosomal RNA
Source: RNAcentral
UACGGAGGGGGCUAGCGUUGUUCGGAAUUACUGGGCGUAAAGCGCACGUAGGCGGCUUCUUAAGUCGGUGGUGAAAUCCUGGAGCUCAACUCCAGAACUGCCUUCGAUACUGGGAGCUCGAGUCCGGGAGAGGUGAGUGGAACUGCGAGUGUAGAGGUGAAAUUCGUAGAUAUUCGCAAGAACACCAGUGGCGAAGGCGGCUCACUGGCCCGGUACUGACGCUGAGGUGCGAAAGCGUGGGGAGCAAACAGG